CCCUUAGAUGUCCUGGGCCGCACGCGCGUUACACUGAUGCACUCAACGAGCUUAUAACCUCGGCCGAGAGGCCUGGGCAAUCUUGUUAACGUGCAUCGUGAUAGGGAUAGAUUAUUGAAAUUAUUAAUCUUGAACGAGGAAUUCCUAGUAAACGCAGAUCAUCAAUCUGCAUUGAUUACGUCCCUGCCCUUUGUACACACCGCCCGUCGCACCUACCGAUUGGAUGGUCCGGUGAAGCCUCGGGAUUGUGGUUCUUGCCGCUUUAUUGUGGCGUGACCGCGAGAACUUGUCUAAACCUUAUCAUCUAGAGGAAGGUGAAGUCGUAACA
Molecule: ribosomal RNA, 328 nt
Filed under: uncultured eukaryote
Lineage: Eukaryota
Description: partial 18S ribosomal RNA
Rfam family: Eukaryotic small subunit ribosomal RNA
Source: RNAcentral